ACACGUAGGGGGCGAGCGUUGUUCGGAAUCAUUGGGCGUAAAGGGCGUGCAGGCGGCCGCCAAAGUCCGGCGUGAAAGACCCAGGCUCAACCUGGGGGGUGCGCCGGAUACUGGGCGGCUUGAGUACAGGAGGGGACGGCGGAAUUCCAGGUGUAGGGGUGAAAUCUGUAGAUAUCUGGAGGAACACCGAUGGCGAAGGCAGCCGUCUGGCCAUGUACUGACGCUGAGGCGCGAAGGUGCGGGGAGCAAACAGGUUUAGAUACCCUGGUAGUCCGCACAGUAAACGAUGUGCACCAGGCGGCGGGGGCAACCUCGCUGCCGCAGUCAACGCAUUAAGUGCACCGCCUGGGGAGUAUGCCCGCAAGGGUGAA
This 371-nucleotide ribosomal RNA is filed under the name uncultured bacterium. RNAcentral describes it as "bacterial SSU rRNA". It matches the Rfam family "Bacterial small subunit ribosomal RNA", at positions 523 to 898 of the family's 1533-position model. The record is from RNAcentral.